Molecule: ribosomal RNA, 253 nt
Filed under: uncultured bacterium
Lineage: Bacteria
Description: partial 16S ribosomal RNA
Rfam family: Bacterial small subunit ribosomal RNA
Source: RNAcentral
UACGUAGGGUGCGAGCGUUGUCCGGAUUUACUGGGCGUAAAGGGCGCGUAGGCGGCGUGUCAAGUCAGGCGUGAAAGCCCCGGGCUCAACCUGGGAACCGCGCUUGAGACUGGCAUGCUCGAGUUCGGGAGAGGGUGGUGGAAUUCCCAGUGUAGAGGUGAAAUUCGUAGAUAUUGGGAAGAACACCGAUGGCGAAGGCAGCCAUCUGGACCGACACUGACGCUGAGGCGCGAAAGCGUGGGGAGCAAACAGG